RNAcentral lists this ribosomal RNA (253 nucleotides) under uncultured bacterium. Its description in RNAcentral is "partial 16S ribosomal RNA". It matches the Rfam family "Bacterial small subunit ribosomal RNA", at positions 524 to 776 of the family's 1533-position model. The record is from RNAcentral.
UACAGAGGUCUCGAGCGUUAGGCGGAAUCACUGGGCUUAAAGCGUGUGUAGGCGGGUCGUUAAGUGCCUUGUGAAAUCCCAUGGCUCAACCAUGGAACUGCUGGGCAUACUGGCGAUCUUGUGCCACCUAGGGGCGAGCGGAACAGAUGGUGGAGCGGUGAAAUGCGUAGAUAUCAUUUGGAACGCCAAUGGUGAAAACAGGUAGCUGGGAGUGUGCUGACGCUGAGACACGAAAGCCAGGGGAGCGAACGGG